RNAcentral lists this ribosomal RNA (496 nucleotides) under uncultured bacterium. Its description in RNAcentral is "partial 16S ribosomal RNA". It matches the Rfam family "Bacterial small subunit ribosomal RNA", at positions 29 to 507 of the family's 1533-position model. The record is from RNAcentral.
AUGAACGCUGGCGGCGUGCCUAAUACAUGCAAGUCGAGCGAACAGAUGAGGAGCUUGCUCCUCUGACGUUAGCGGCGAACGGGUGAGUAACACGUGGAUAACCUACCUAUAAGACUGGGAAAACUUCGGGAAACCGGAGCUAAUACCGGAUAAUAUAUUGAACCGCAUGGUUCAAUAGUGAAAGACGGUUUUGCUGUCACUUAUAGAUGGAUCCGCGCCGCAUUAGCUAGUUGGUAAGGUAACGGCUUACCAAGGCAACGAUGCGUAGCCGACCUGAGAGGGUGAUCGGCCACACUGGAACUGAGACACGGUCCAGACUCCUACGGGAGGCAGCAGUAGGGAAUCUUCCGCAAUGGGCGAAAGCUUGACGGAGCAACGCCGCGUGAGUGAUGAAGGUCUUCGGAUCGUAAAACUCUGUUAUUAGGGAAGAACAAAUGUGUAAGUAACUAUGCACGUCUUGACGGUACCUAAUCAGAAAGCCACGGCUAACUACGUG